Molecule: transfer RNA, 65 nt
Filed under: Cryptorhynchinae sp. KM-2015
Lineage: Eukaryota; Metazoa; Arthropoda; Insecta; Coleoptera; Curculionidae
Description: tRNA-Leu
Source: RNAcentral
AUUAUUUUGGCAGAUUAGUGCGAUUGAUUUAGGUUCUUUAAAUAUAGAAUUUUCUAUAAAUAAUA